GACUCAUAUCCCAGCUUCAACUUGGAUUCGCUGUGUGACUUCAGAAUUUCAUAUAAAUUGGAAACAUAGAAUGUGUCUCCUUCUUUGUAAGACUUCUUUUACUCAAGGCAGCUGGGAAACCCGCCAAGGCUCAGGCGCUGAAGGGGCAAAAGGAACAGAAAGAGCAAGAAGCACUUGGAUCAACCAUUCGUCUCUCUCCAAGGCCCAUACACGUUCCCGUCUAAAGUUGGCAUUUAUAUACUUGACUUCUCCUGCAUUCUCUCCCCUUCAGAUUUAAUGUCUAGGUUUGUCUGAUUUUUAAACUGGGUUAUUUGAAUGUCAAACUUUCGGUAACACUUUAAUAGAGGUGUCCAUUAACCCGUGCUAAAUGAGAGCCCGGCGUCUCUGGAAAUGCAUGUGACAUCCGGAGGAAUCCACAUGAAUACCAAAUGCCUUCAUUAUGCGCAGCCCCCAGCGCGAUGAAUACCAAACACGGAGCCCAGCGCAGGGACUGGGUCCUCGCUCCCAGGAGUUGCCAACACCUCUCUGCGUUUCCUCAGCGGUCCCAGUCAGCCCCGUUCGCUGUUUCUCUCCAGGUGACUAGGCGCGGCAAGGGUGGCUUUGGCGGAAACAAAUAAAUGGCGCGCUCAUCACCAAAUUCAGAGCUGAGGCAGGGAGGAGGCUGGCGCCCAUCACCGGGGAGUCAGCAAGGGGACGCGCGCUUAGUAUGCAAGACGGGUUCCCGACACUUCAUAAAAGGCGAUAACUUUCUUUGACCAAUGAAUGUAUUA
Long non-coding RNA from Hipposideros armiger (great roundleaf bat), 770 nucleotides. RefSeq lists it as uncharacterized. The record is from RefSeq and is a predicted model, not a curated record. The transcript is spliced from 3 exons. Lineage: Eukaryota; Metazoa; Chordata; Mammalia; Chiroptera; Hipposideridae.